Molecule: ribosomal RNA, 430 nt
Filed under: Pseudomonadota bacterium
Lineage: Bacteria; Pseudomonadati; Pseudomonadota
Description: Proteobacteria bacterium partial 16S ribosomal RNA
Rfam family: Bacterial small subunit ribosomal RNA
Source: RNAcentral
UGGGGAAUAUUGGACAAUGGGCGGAAGCCUGAUCCAGCCAUGCCGCGUGUGCGAAGAAGGCCUUUUGGUUGUAAAGCACUUUAAGCGAGGAGGAGGCUCUUCUAGUUAAUACCUAGGAUGAGUGGACGUUACUCGCAGAAUAAGCACCGGCUAACUCUGUGCCAGCAGCCGCGGUAAUACAGAGGGUGCGAGCGUUAAUCGGAUUUACUGGGCGUAAAGCGUGCGUAGGCGGCUGAUUAAGUCGGAUGUGAAAUCCCUGAGCUUAACUUAGGAAUUGCAUUCGAUACUGGUCAGCUAGAGUAUGGGAGAGGAUGGUAGAAUUCCAGGUGUAGCGGUGAAAUGCGUAGAGAUCUGGAGGAAUACCGAUGGCGAAGGCAGCCAUCUGGCCUAAUACUGACGCUGAGGUACGAAAGCAUGGGGAGCAAACAGG